CAUGUGCUCCUGCUCCUGCACAGCAAUGCGCACCAGAACCAUGCCAAGAUCCUUGUGCUGUAGUUGAUCCCUGCCAGGCACAAGGCCAAGGUGGAAUCGGCGCAGUCAGUGGACAAGGAGCAUAUGAAGUGUCAAGUGGAAAAGGUGGAGUCGGAAUUGGUGGAAAAGGUGGAGUCGCUGGAGUUGGUGGAUCAGGUGGAUUUGGUUCUCAAGGAUUUGGUGGAGUGAAGAAAUGAAACUAUGUUUGCAAAAAGGCACGCUAAGCUCUCAGAUGGCACUGCUGGUUGUGGAUGCCAAAAACAAAUAAUUAGUGUUCAAAUCACUAUUACAGUAUAAAUUAAUUGUACAGAGAAAAUAAUAUAUUCUCUUUUACCAAAUAAAUUAAAUUGAUUAUAAUAAAGA
Molecule: long non-coding RNA, 402 nt
Organism: Pseudophryne corroboree (corroboree frog)
Lineage: Eukaryota; Metazoa; Chordata; Amphibia; Anura; Myobatrachidae
Exons: 2
Source: RefSeq, a predicted model, not a curated record